AGGACGACUCACCGGACGGGAUUUCCAAAAUGUUUCAGGACACCGAGCAGACGAUGGAGUGGUCCUUAGGCCGAAACAUUUGGUCACCAAUUCCAGGAAAUCAGUCGUCUGUUGAGAUAUAAACGCCAGUAUCCACUGUUGGUCUCAUACAUCGUUUGACAAGUCGAAGGAACAACACAGAGGCGCCCAUUGUUGAAUUUAGCAGACGACAUAUUGCAACCAGACACUCUCGUCUCGUCUUACUUGAAACGUUCUGUCAAGAUGAACAAGGUCUUCCUAGUCUUCCUUUUGAUCUCGGCCCUCGUCAUGCAGGAAACUUUCGCUGUCCACGCUGGUCGACGGGGCAAUAACGGAGGCGGUGUCAGCCGUGGUGGUUUCGGUGGUGGUUUCGGCGGGGGAAGUAGUCGAGGCUCCAGUAGCAGCAGCGGCCGCAGCGGAGGAUUUGGGGGAAUGGGUACGGCGAGCAGGCGGAGGAGGAGUGUGGACGCCCAGAGAAUGGCUCUUGGAGACCUCAUCAAGCAUUUGGAACAACAGAGCUAAACGGAAUGGUUGGAUGAACAGUGCGUUUGACUGCCUUUGCAUUAGACCAUAUUGGACUGCCUUUUUAAAAUGUUUCACCAUUUCGAUGUUCUGACUGUUGAAAAAUUCGUUCCAAGGAGUCCCCUUCUCCAUUUGCUGUAAAAUCUUGUUUAUCGAGCAUCGUUCAAGGUUAUCACCUACCCCCUACCCCCUUUCUAAAACCAACGAUCUCAACUAAGAGAGACUGGUAUCUGAAGUUAAUAUAUGAUGGUCCUUGCCGACAUGUUGUAUUGCAUAUAUUGAGGUAGAGGAACCAGUCACAGCUGAACAAGGCCAUGCAGAGGGGGAACUAAAUAUAUGGAAAUUUUGCCGUAUUUUUAUGUUUCAUUGUACAAAUGAAUACAAUGUACGUACAUAGUUUCUCAACUUGGCUUGCGAUUAAAUGUGGGACUGGUGAAA
Lineus longissimus is the source of this 978-nucleotide long non-coding RNA. RefSeq lists it as uncharacterized. Lineage: Eukaryota; Metazoa; Nemertea; Pilidiophora; Heteronemertea; Lineidae. The record is from RefSeq and is a predicted model, not a curated record. The transcript has 3 exons.